CUGGCGAGGAUGGCACUGACGCUGAGGCACGAAGGCGUGGGGAUCGAACAGGAUUAGAUACCCUGGUAGUCCACGCAGUAAACGAUGGCGACUUGUUGUCGGCGACAGACGGCCGGUGACAAAGCGAAAGCGAUAAGUCGCCCACCUGGGGAGUACGAUCGCAAGGUUGAAACUCAAAGGAAUUGACGGGGGCCCGCACAAGCGGAGGAGCAUGUGGUUUAAUUCGAUGAUACGCGAGGAACCUUACCUGGACUCAAAUGUUGGACGGCGGGCCCAGAGAUGGGUCUUCCCCUCGGGGCGUCCAGCAAGGUGCUGCAUGGUUGUCGUCAGCUCGUGCCGUGAGGUGUCAGGUUAAGUCCUAUAACGAGCGCAACCCCUGCGUCCAGUUGCCAGCGAGUAGAGUCGGGGACUCUGGACGGACUGCCGGCGCAAGCCGAGAGGAAGGCGGGGAUGACGUCAAAUCAGCACGGCCCUUACGUCCAGGGCGACACACGUGCUACAAUGGCCGGUACAGAGGGCAGCCACGCCGCGAGGCGGAGCGAAUCUCGAAAGCCGGUCUCAGUUCGGAUCGGAGUCUGCAACCCGACUCCGUGAAGUUGGA
RNAcentral lists this ribosomal RNA (601 nucleotides) under uncultured bacterium. RNAcentral describes it as "bacterial SSU rRNA". It matches the Rfam family "Bacterial small subunit ribosomal RNA", at positions 725 to 1330 of the family's 1533-position model. The record is from RNAcentral.